GGCCGGCGCGUCCUUCCACCCGGAGACCGCGCCUACUCUUAACUGAGCGGGCGCGGGAGACGGGUCUUUUACUUUGAAAAAAUCAGAGUGUUUCAAGCAGGCAGUCGCUCUUGCAUGGAUUAGCAUGGGAUAAUGAAAUAGGACUCUGGUGCUAUUUUGUUGGUUUCGAACACCGGAGUAAUGAUUAACAGGGACAGUCAGGGGCACUCGUAUUCCGCCGAGAGAGGUGAAAUUCUCAGACCAGCGGAAGACGAACCACUGCGAAAGCAUUUGCCAGGGAUGUUUUCACUGAUCAAGAACGAAAGUUAGGGGAUCGAAGACGAUCAUAUACCGUCGUAGUCUUAACCAUAAACCAUGCCGACUAGGGAUUGGAGGAUGUUCCAUUUGUGACUCCUUCAGCACCUUUCGGGAAACUAAAGUCUUUGGGUUCCGGGGGGAGUAUGGUCGCAAGGCUGAAACUUAAAGGAAUUGACGGAAGGGCACCACCAGGAGUGGAGCCUGCGGCUUAAUUUGACUCAACACGGGGAAACUUACCAGGUCCAGACAUUGUGAGGAUUGACAGAUUGAGAGCUCUUUCUUGAUUCGAUGGGUGGUGGUGCAUGGCCGUUCUUAGUUGGUGGAGUGAUUUGUCUGGUUAAUUCCGU
Molecule: ribosomal RNA, 644 nt
Filed under: Emiliania huxleyi
Lineage: Eukaryota; Haptophyta; Isochrysidales; Noelaerhabdaceae
Description: SSU rRNA
Rfam family: Eukaryotic small subunit ribosomal RNA
Source: RNAcentral